UACAGAGGAUGCAAGCGUUAUCCGGAAUGAUUGGGCGUAAAGCGUCUGUAGGUGGCUUUUUAAGUCCGCCGUCAAAUCCCAGGGCUCAACUCUGGACAGGCGGUGGAAACUACCAAGCUGGAGUACGGUAGGGGCAGAGGGAAUUUCCGGUGGAGCGGUGAAAUGCGUAGAGAUGCGGAAGAACACCAGUGGCGAAGGCGGUUUACUGGUCUACAACUGACACUGAGACGCGAAAGCAUGGGUAGCGAACGGG
RNAcentral lists this ribosomal RNA (253 nucleotides) under uncultured bacterium. RNAcentral's name for it is "partial 16S ribosomal RNA". It matches the Rfam family "Bacterial small subunit ribosomal RNA", at positions 524 to 776 of the family's 1533-position model. The record is from RNAcentral.